CUGAAGUGAGUUGCGCUCCAGGCUUCUCCCAGGAGGCACCCAGAGUGCAAAUGCUGCCCAGCUACCAGCUGGAGCUGACACAAGCCUGCUGUAAUUUGAUGAGCGAGCAAACCCCUGUCCCAGAGCAGGAGUUGAGAUCAUUCGUGCAACAACAGGACGCAGCCUAUUGCUAGCAACUCCUCGUGACCGGCCCCCGCCCCAGCAGCGGCUAGCCCGCAGGCCUCGGUGGAAAGAAAUACCGUAAAUGUAGCAGCGACUGUCAUCGCUGUUUUAUUUUCUCUUUGGCCUCUGGGUAUUCACACCGCUUCCCCAUUAUUAGUCAUAUUAUAUCAUCAGCCACAGUUGUGCUUGUCAACCACUCGGGGAGAGAGCUACCAUUAGAAUACAGGGGCAUGGAAGAAAGAAAAAAGAAGCAAUCCUUCUCUGGGGAAGGAGGAAAACAGGAAGGGUGGCUGCUGCAUGAUGGUGCGCCCGCCGCGUAGCUGUGGCUGGUGACAGACGAGGCAAAGUGGGAGACUUCAUCUGGUCAGGACCCCACGGGGACUUGCUGUUGUUUUUCCCGGUCUCAGGGGCCCUCAGAGCCAGAAACAGCACAGUUGUGGACAGAGGUGGACAGAGGCCAGGCCCGCCCGUUGGCUGGUGCCUGACUCGGUGGGUCUGUGGGCUGCUUCCUGAGCGGGAGGUGACUGUGGCCAGCCUGAUGCAGGGCAGAGACACCGUUUCCGUGGCAACCGGCUCUAACAAUAGUGAUGCACAUUUCUGGCCAAAGCACAGUGGUGGGAAGAACUCGGACCGGGGAGCCAGAAUGGCCUGGAUUGGAGUCCAGUUCUGCUACUGACAAGCUGCAUGGUGGGGGCGAGCUGUUGAGCCUCUCUGAGACGGAUAUGGUGGCAGCACCGGUGGAAGUGCCUAGCAUGGUACCCGAGACCUAGUAAGGGCUCGGUGAUGCUUGGUCACCGUCCACCAUCCUCCUCCCCUUCAGCCUAUGGUGAAAAAUAGUCCUGUCUGUUUCGGUAACAAAACUCCAGACACCAUCCUGCCCAUUCGGACCGGUUCUGCACUUCCCUCCAUUCAUGGAGAAAGGAGCCUCGAAGGGACAAUGAUCACCGUCUCCUUCUGAGAACUGUGCUGGCUGGCAUCCUGCAGACACCGAAGGGCCAGUUUCUAAGGACAUGGCCUGGGUGUUCUGUCCAGCUGGAUGGCAGGCCGUGACCCCAAAAUCAGCAGUGAUGAUAACGAAGCGAGUGAAGCAGUAUGGAGAUGGCCAGU
Molecule: long non-coding RNA, 1269 nt
Filed under: Homo sapiens (human)
Lineage: Eukaryota; Metazoa; Chordata; Mammalia; Primates; Hominidae
Description: HSALNT0278786
Source: RNAcentral